Long non-coding RNA from Pomacea canaliculata, 1012 nucleotides. RefSeq lists it as uncharacterized. NCBI's taxonomy places the organism in Eukaryota, Metazoa, Mollusca, Gastropoda, Architaenioglossa, Ampullariidae. The transcript is spliced from 2 exons. The record is from RefSeq and is a predicted model, not a curated record.
AUAAUGACACCCAUAUUUGUAGACAUGUCCAUCACACCAAGGACAGGUCAGAGGAAAAGGAAGUUACUGACAGAUUAUGGACUCCACCCUCUGUUAGUUGAGGCCGAGAGGCCAGUGGGAGAAAUGUUGUGUGUGAUUUGUUUCUGUAAAACGUAGAAGCUUUUCUGAAGGUGAACAAGGACAACAAAAGCAACCUCACCCGGCAGUUGCCAGGAGGCGUGCUAAAGACUGGCUAUAAAAGGACUGAAGACGAUGUUUCUGACAGAAGCUAUCCGCCAAUCGUCUCAGCCUGUAGCCUUAUUGCAACUCUAAACACUUGUCACCAUGCGUCAGCUGAUGAUCCUGGCAGCAGCUCUACUCAUCCUGUGUGUAGAGAUGAGUUCUUGUGAUGCAGAGCCUGAUGCAAUACAAGAUGAAGUUCUACACAAGCUUCACAAGAGAGCCUCUGAUGGCACUAAGACUCGUUUUGGCGGUAGUAUUAAACCUGGCUAUGGCGUUGCCAGUGGUAGACGUCUUGCACCCGAUGAGCCACACCCUGUCAUGUAAGCUGCUCAACGAUGGACGACACACAUCACUGCUUCUGCCUAACCACUCACCGCUACAAAGACAAGCUACAAUCAUCACUUACUACAAACUUGUCUUCUCCUUCUUUUGCUCCUACAAACAUGCGGCCUGGCAGAUGACUUGAAGAGACUUCUACUAAAGCUUUGUCUCCUGUACAGACAAACUAUAACCACAGCUGACACAACUCUCACCUAGUGCUUGUAGUUUAGUAUCAGCCUGUCUUCUGAUGAUAAACCUUCCUGUAGUUCAAGUCCUGGCUGCACUGUCAGUCCACAGACAACAGCAGACGAGAGACAAACUUUGUGUUUGGCUGCUGUGAGGCUGAUAACAAGAGACACAUGUACUGGCAUUGACACUCACUAUAAUAAUGGACAACAAUGGCAACAUACAACCUUCUUUCUUUCUUCUUUCGCUAAAGCUUUUAAAAAUAAACUCAGACUUCUAUACA